Molecule: long non-coding RNA, 2249 nt
Organism: Raphanus sativus (radish)
Lineage: Eukaryota; Viridiplantae; Streptophyta; Magnoliopsida; Brassicales; Brassicaceae
Exons: 9
Source: RefSeq, a predicted model, not a curated record
GAGUAAGUCAUUGCCUGAAAAGCGAAGUUUUUGAUUCUAUGAUUUCGUCCCAUUAUCUUCUCCUUCGAUGAUCUCAGAUACUAGCUAUGGAGUUUUGAGAUUUUCAAUCCACGUGAUGAUUUGCUUUGUAGAUCUUCAAUUCGAUGUUUUGCCCUCUCUUCUAUCAACGGAAACGUUAACUGUAAUUGAUUUUUACUCCCUGCUCUAUCACUCGGAAUGUGCAUAUAUACAUCGCAGGGUUUUGCGCUUAGCUUUCGUCUCCGCCAUACCAUGUCGAGACAGAACCAGAGUUUCCUUAUCGCGGAUCUUUCACCUUCUUCCUUCCCGUAUGGCGGCCAUUGGAACUAGGGUUCAUCCUGUUCUUCGUUCUGUUGCUAACCAAAGCGACAAUGGUGUAUUCAACAAUAUAUUUGCGAGACGAUUCCCUGGAUUGGGCUUUCUUCAUGUCGUUUCGUCUUCGUUUUUCUCUCUGGAACCGUUACAGGACCAACUUAUUCACAGCCGUUCUUAAAUUCGACCCACGCUGCAACCACGAUUUCUCAUUCAUUGUAUCUUUCUCACUUCAAGGCGGUGCAUCUCCCAACUAUAAAAAGGUUUCAGUGAUCAACAUUUUUUUACAGAGCAAAACAGAGUCCAUGAACGGAAAUUUAAGAGGAGGAUCAGAAACUGAGUCUUCAUCAAGCCUUCAGUCUAAUAGCUUACGAAGACCAGGUUCUGCACCCGAAGGAUCGGACAAACAAUAAUCAAGAUGCACAUAAAGAGGUGAUGAGAGCUUCAGAGACGCUAGACAAUCUGCUUCCUAACAUUAUCUUCAAGUGAUAUUGAUGAAAAGCUCAAGCAUCUAUUCUGUGGCAUAUCCACUCCCAAACGACUUAUUUGACAUGGAGAAGGAGCUGCAGAAGAUUGGUUUUAAGCCGGGACAAAGGAUAACCUUUAGUGGACAAUUCUUAACUAUCAGAACACAGUGGCACAAGUGGUGGAACUUCUUGGAGAUGAGGAUACUGCAGCUGAUUUACGAUACGAUGUUGGUCUGGGAAGCAAUAUUUAUCUUAAUAUUAUUCUGUGCCUCAACUUGACACCACUAGAAGACAGUACAUUCCCGAACAAUAAGUUGUUGAUAUUAUCAAUGGUUAUACAGCGACGAGCUCCAUGACUUUUGGAGAAGCGAAUUCGAGGUUUAGAGAUAUGAGUCUGGCUUAGGAUGUGAGCAAGCGCCAGUAACAGACUUGGUUGCAUUGAAACUAACAAGAAAGUGAAAAGAUACUGGCUUGGUCUCAACGAGUUUGCAGAUUUGAGCCACGAAGAAUUCAAGAACAAGUAUUUGGGCUCAAGACUGGUAUAGAAAGAGGCGAUGAUGAAAGAUCCUAACAAGAGUUCACUUAUAAGGACGUUGACGUAGAAGCUUUGCCUAAAUCUGUUGACUGGAGAAAGAAAGGAGCUGUGCGCUAUGUCAAGAACCGAAACUCUUGCGUUACUGCAGUGGAAGGUAUAAACAAGAUUGUGACAGGAAACUUGGAAACAUUCUCUGAACAUGAACUCAUAGACGGUCAGUCUGUGACACAACUUACAACAAUGGUUGCAAUGGUGGUCUCAUGGAUUAUGCUUUUGAGUAGAUCUCAAGAACAGAGGUGUUCACAAGGAAGAGGAUUAUCCUUACUCCAUGGAAGAAGGAACUUGCUAGAGGCGAAAGGUUUUUAUGUUACUGCGAAAAAGGGAUUAAUUGGUCAUACUAAUUCUCUUUGUUUUUAAACAGGAUGAUCCUGAAAUGGUGACCAUCAGUGGGCACCAAGAUGUACCAAGAAAUGAUGAUAAUUCUCUUGAAAGCAUUGGCUCAUCAACCUCUCAGUGUCACUAGGGAGUUCCAGUUCAUAGUGGUGUGUUUUUUGAUGGGGGAUGCGGGGUGAACACGAACCAAGGUGUUGCUGUAGUUGGGUAUGAAUCAAGCAAGGUUCAGAUCAUUGUGAAUUUUUUUUUACCAACAUGGGGAGAGAAAGGUUGCAUCAAGAUGAAGAGGAACACUUAUAAACCAGAGGGUCUCUCUGUGAAAUCAAUAAGAUGGCUUCUUUCCCCACUAAAAUAAAGUGAUAAUAUCAUUUUAUCUUAUCUGCAUUUGAUCACUAUCUUCAUAACAACAUGAAAUUGUUAUUUUAAGGAAUAGAAACUAGAUUUUGACCCGCCCUUAGAAGGGCGGGUAUAUUUUUGUUUUUACAUUUUUUUUUAUAAAUUUAAUUUUUAUAUUUAUGUUUUUA